RNAcentral lists this ribosomal RNA (515 nucleotides) under Parnassius szechenyii. RNAcentral describes it as "partial 16S ribosomal RNA". The stretch from base 388 to 515 matches the Rfam family "Bacterial large subunit ribosomal RNA", at positions 2473 to 2600 of the family's 2925-position model. The record is from RNAcentral. Lineage: Eukaryota; Metazoa; Arthropoda; Insecta; Lepidoptera; Papilionidae.
GUCUUUUUGAUUAAUAAUUUAAAGUCUAAUCUGCCCACUGAUAUAAUAUUAAAGGGCUGCAGUAUUUUGACUGUACAAAGGUAGCAUAAUCAUUAGUCUCUUAAUUGGUGACUUGUAUGAAAGAUUUGAUGAGAUAUAUACUGUCUCUUUUUAAUUUGUAAAAUUUAAUUUUUUAGUUAAAAAGCUAAAAUAUAUUUAAAAGACGAGAAGACCCUAUAGAGUUUUAUAUUUAAUUAAAUUAAAAUUUUUUGUAAGAUUUAAAAUUUUAAUAUAUUUAAAUAUUGUGUUGGGGUGACAAAAAAAUUUAAAUAACUUUUUUUAUAAAUUAACAUUUAUUAAUGAAUAUAUGAUCCGUAAUUUACGAUUAUAAGAAAAAAUUACCUUAGGGAUAACAGCGUAAUUUUUUUUUUUAGUUCAAAUAAGAAUUAAAGUUUGCGACCUCGAUGUUGGAUUAAGAUAAAAUUUAAAUGUAAAAGUUUAAAAUUUUUGAUCUGUUCGAUCAUUAAAAUCUUACA